UUAUAAGACGAGAAGACCCCAUGGAGCUUUAAACCCAAUUAUAUCUCUAACCACUAUAACCAUUUAACCACUUAGAACUUAUAUACUUGGUUUUAGGUUGGGGCGACCACGGAGCACAACCAAACCUCCACGAUGAACGGAACAACCCCCUUAUCUGAGAAUUACACUUCUAAGAAUUAGCACACUAACAUAAAAUGACCCAUUAUUGAUCAACGAACCAAGUUACCCUGGGGAUAACAGCGCAAUCCAUUUUAAGAGCCCCUAUCGACAAAU
RNAcentral lists this ribosomal RNA (273 nucleotides) under Mantidactylus catalai. Its description in RNAcentral is "partial 16S ribosomal RNA". The record is from RNAcentral. Lineage: Eukaryota; Metazoa; Chordata; Amphibia; Anura; Mantellidae.